CCUACGGGAGGCAGCAGUGAGGAAUAUUGGUCAAUGGACGCGAGUCUGAACCAGCCAAGUAGCGUGAAGGAUGACUGCCCUAUGGGUUGUAAACUUCUUUUAUAUGGGAAUAAAAUGUUCCACGUGUGGGUUUUUGUAUGUACCAUAUGCAUAAGGAUCGGCUAAUUCCGUGCCAGCAGCCGCGGUAAUACGGAGGAUCCGAGCGUUAUCCGGAUUUAUUGGGUUUAAAGGGAGCGUAGGUGGAUUGUUAAGUCAGUUGUGAAAGUUUGCGGCUCAACCGUAAAAUUGCAGUUGAAACUGGCAGUCUUGAGUACAGUAGAGGUGGGCGGAAUUCGUGGUGUAGCGGUGAAAUGCUUAGAUAUCACGAAGAACUCCGAUUGCGAAGGCAGCUCACUGGACUGCAACUGACACUGAGGCUCGAUAGUGUGGGUAUCAAACAGGAUUAGAUACCCUUGUAGUC
Molecule: ribosomal RNA, 460 nt
Filed under: uncultured bacterium
Lineage: Bacteria
Description: partial 16S ribosomal RNA
Rfam family: Bacterial small subunit ribosomal RNA
Source: RNAcentral